This 1625-nucleotide long non-coding RNA is filed under the name Heterocephalus glaber (naked mole-rat). Its description in RNAcentral is "lncRNA (ENSHGLG00100040726.1)". Lineage: Eukaryota; Metazoa; Chordata; Mammalia; Rodentia; Bathyergidae. The record is from RNAcentral.
AUAAAUUUCCCUCUUAGCUCUGCUCUUACUGCAUUCCGUACCAUGGGUUGGCAACCUCCUGCAUCUCAUGCUGCACCAUCUAACACUGCCUUUGGCAGCCUCCAAUCUGAUGCUCAGGCUAUGCCUCCAUUCCCAUCAGUAUUCCAGCAAGUGAGAGCCAAUUCUUCAGAUUCCCACCAUCAAGCUGGAACUUUGAAGUGAAUCCUGGCAGUAAUCAGCAAAGCAUCUGUAUCCAUCCAUCUUUCACCCCCACCUUCUGACCUGGCAGAAGAAAUCACGAUGUUACCAUGGAAGACUCAGCAAUCCCAGACUGAAGCAAGAGCUUGUGCGUGUCUGAGGAGGGUGAUUCUGAGAAACCCAACAAGAGAAGCUUUGUGAAACCAAAACAAGCAGGUGCUGCUGAAAAGGCCGGUCACCUCUGUGGGUAGCAGAGGUAUCUCACUGAAAAUCUCUGGGGAGCUAUGGCCAGGGCCCCCAAGACUUAGCCAUCCAAGGGACAGACAAGGGGAGAAUUUAUUUCCUGGCUUUGUUCCCUCUUUGUUCUAUAGUCAUCUAUUUGGAGAUUAACUUUGCAGAUGUUGCAGAAGUCAGACGUGGAAAAAGCAGAUGCUACUGGCCAGAAUUGGCGUGACAGCCAGGGCUGGAUAAGAGGCCACCAGAGGUGCCAGGCCACAGAGUGGGAAGGUGUGUCCUCAGAGUUGGACUGGAGUCCAUAGCUUUAGGGACAAGCUCUCAAAUGUUCAUCUUAACUUAUAACUCAUCAUCCAACCUCACAGAUCUGUUGAGGGUUUAGUAAGAAUGAAUACUACAGUGGUUUGUAAAACUGUGAGAACUAGUGAAUAUCAACUAGUCUUUCCCUGGUUGUAGGUGAUCAGCCCAAAGUACAAGAACAACAACAAAAAACCGUCUGACCCCUCUGUCAUCUGCCGUGUCUCUGCUCCCCACUUCUUGUGUCUUUUCCCUGUCCCCACAGACCUGACAGUGUCUCUUGGGGGAAUUAAAGACACUUGGAAGCUGCUACCCUGUGGAAGGGAAAGAAUAGUGUCUCCAAACAUGAAAGGAAAUUGUUCUCCUCAUAAGCAUCUUUUCCUAUAAUUGCAUCUUCCCUACUGCUCCAGCAAAUGAAGUUUAAAUAUUUAACAAGAAUGUCAGCACCAUUUGGGUGGCUGGGGCUCCCUGAAAAUGAGGCUUCAGGGGCCUGGAACCUGCAUAGACCAUGCCUGGGUUGUAGCAGGCUCUGUCCCCUCCCUCACAAGCGGGUGACCGGCCAUCAAGCACUUGGUCUGAGCUGUGACUGCUGCCCAACAUCUGCCACACAGAACCUGAUGGGGCUGCUGCCCUCAGCUGCCAGGAGUUGGGCCAUCUGGCAGGUGUCUGUUUCUCCAAACUGAAGAGUGCACAUAGCAUGGCACUGUGUUUAGUGGGGUGUGGGCCAAAUGCUGCUGCUACUCACCACCGAGAAAUGGGGGUGCUGGUCUUCAAGGCAGACAUAGCACCCCAACAGGCUGAGUGGCUUCUCCUGUCUCCUGACUUCUGCUGAUCUACCACUUUCUUUUCCAGAUAUUUUAUAAAGUAAUAAAAUAUCAAACUAUACUUACAAAGCAUAAGCAUAUCUGUAACUAUUU